Molecule: ribosomal RNA, 243 nt
Filed under: uncultured Actinomycetales bacterium
Lineage: Bacteria; Bacillati; Actinomycetota; Actinomycetes; Actinomycetales
Description: partial 16S ribosomal RNA
Rfam family: Bacterial small subunit ribosomal RNA
Source: RNAcentral
UACUCGAGUGGCGAACGGGUGAGUAACACGUGGGUGAUCUGCCCUGCACUUCGGGAUAAGCUUGGGAAACUGGGUCUAAUACCGGAUAGGAGCCAUCUUUAGUGUGGUGGUUGGAAAGUUUUUUCGGUGUAGGAUGAGCUCGCGGCCUAUCAGCUUGUUGGUGGGGUAAUGGCCUACCAAGGCGGCGACGGGUAGCCGGCCUGAGAGGGUGUACGGCCACAUUGGGACCGAGAUACGGCCCAG